UGUGAGCUCGAUGAGUAGGGCGGGACACGUGGUAUCCUGUCUGAAUAUGGGGGGACCAUCCUCCAAGGCUAAAUACUCCUGACUGACCGAUAGUGAACCAGUACCGUGAGGGAAAGGCGAAAAGAACCCCGGCGAGGGGAGUGAAAAAGAACCUGAAACCGUGUACGUACAAGCAGUGGGAGCCUCUUUUAUGGGGUGACUGCGUACCUUUUGUAUAAUGGGUCAGCGACUUAUAUUCUGUAGCAAGGUUAACCGAAUAGGGGAGCCGAAGGGAAACCGAGUCUUAACCGGGCGUUAAGUUGCAGGGUAUAGACCCGAAACCCGGUGAUCUAGCCAUGGGCAGGUUGAAGGUUGGGUAACACUAACUGGAGGACCGAACCGACUAAUGUUGAAAAAUUAGCGGAUGACUUGUGGCUGGGGGUGAAAGGCCAAUCAAACCGGGAGAUAGCUGGUUCUCCCCGAAAGCUAUUUAGGUAGCGCCUCGUGAAUUCAUCUCCGGGGGUAGAGCACUGUUUCGGCAAGGGGGUCAUCCCGACUUACCAACCCGAUGCAAACUGCGAAUACCGGAGAAUGUUAUCACGGGAGACACACGGCGGGUGCUAACGUCCGUCGUGAAGAGGGAAACAACCCAGACCGCCAGCUAAGGUCCCAAAGUCAUGGUUAAGUGGGAAACGAUGUGGGAAGGCCCAGACAGCCAGGAUGUUGGCUUAGAAGCAGCCAUCAUUUAAAGAAAGCGUAAUAGCUCACUGGUCGAGUCGGCCUGCGCGGAAGAUGUAACGGGGCUAAACCAUGCACCGAAGCUGCGGCAGCGACACUGUGUGUUGUUGGGUAGGGGAGCGUUCUGUAAGCCUGUGAAGGUGUACUGUGAGGUAUGCUGGAGGUAUCAGAAGUGCGAAUGCUGACAUAAGUAACGAUAAAGCGGGUGAAAAGCCCGCUCGCCGGAAGACCAAGGGUUCCUGUCCAACGUUAAUCGGGGCAGGGUGAGUCGACCCCUAAGGCGAGGCCGAAAGGCGUAGUCGAUGGGAAACAGGUUAAUAUUCCUGUACUUGGUGUUACUGCGAAGGGGGGACGGAGAAGGCUAUGUUGGCCGGGCGACGGUUGUCCCGGUUUAAGCGUGUAGGCUGGUUUUCCAGGCAAAUCCGGAAAAUCAAGGCUGAGGCGUGAUGACGAGGCACUACGGUGCUGAAGCAACAAAUGCCCUGCUUCCAGGAAAAGCCUCUAAGCAUCAGGUAACAUCAAAUCGUACCCCAAACCGACACAGGUGGUCAGGUAGAGAAUACCAAGGCGCUUGAGAGAACUCGGGUGAAGGAACUAGGCAAAAUGGUGCCGUAACUUCGGGAGAAGGCACGCUGAUAUGUAGGUGAAGUCCCUCGCGGAUGGAGCUGAAAUCAGUCGAAGAUACCAGCUGGCUGCAACUGUUUAUUAAAAACACAGCACUGUGCAAACACGAAAGUGGACGUAUACGGUGUGACGCCUGCCCGGUGCCGGAAGGUUAAUUGAUGGGGUCAGCGCAAGCGAAGCUCUUGAUCGAAGCCCCGGUAAACGGCGGCCGUAACUAUAACGGUCCUAAGGUAGCGAAAUUCCUUGUCGGGUAAGUUCCGACCUGCACGAAUGGCGUAAUGAUGGCCAGGCUGUCUCCACCCGAGACUCAGUGAAAUUGAACUCGCUGUGAAGAUGCAGUGUACCCGCGGCAAGACGGAAAGACCCCGUGAACCUUUACUAUAGCUUGACACUGAACAUUGAGCCUUGAUGUGUAGGAUAGGUGGGAGGCUUUGAAGUGUGGACGCCAGUCUGCAUGGAGCCGACCUUGAAAUACCACCCUUUAAUGUUUGAUGUUCUAACGUGGACCCGUGAUCCGGGUUGCGGACAGUGUCUGGUGGGUAGUUUGACUGGGGCGGUCUCCUCCUAAAGAGUAACGGAGGAGCACGAAGGUUGGCUAAUCCUGGUCGGACAUCAGGAGGUUAGUGCAAUGGCAUAAGCCAGCUUGACUGCGAGCGUGACGGCGCGAGCAGGUGCGAAAGCAGGUCAUAGUGAUCCGGUGGUUCUGAAUGGAAGGGCCAUCGCUCAACGGAUAAAAGGUACUCCGGGGAUAACAGGCUGAUACCGCCCAAGAGUUCAUAUCGACGGCGGUGUUUGGCACCUCGAUGUCGGCUCAUCACAUCCUGGGGCUGAAGUAGGUCCCAAGGGUAUGGCUGUUCGCCAUUUAAAGUGGUACGCGAGCUGGGUUUAGAACGUCGUGAGACAGUUCGGUCCCUAUCUGCCGUGGGCGCUGGAGAACUGAGGGGGGCUGCUCCUAGUACGAGAGGACCGGAGUGGACGCAUCACUGGUGUUCGGGUUGUCAUGCCAAUGGCACUGCCCGGUAGCUAAAUGCGGAAGAGAUAAGUGCUGAAAGCAUCUAAGCACGAAACUUGCCCCGAGAUGAGUUCU
RNAcentral lists this ribosomal RNA (2428 nucleotides) under Escherichia coli. RNAcentral's name for it is "bacterial LSU rRNA". It matches the Rfam family "Bacterial large subunit ribosomal RNA", at positions 398 to 2812 of the family's 2925-position model. The record is from RNAcentral. Lineage: Bacteria; Pseudomonadati; Pseudomonadota; Gammaproteobacteria; Enterobacterales; Enterobacteriaceae.